GAUAACGUCGUGGCUGAGGCCGGUGUAAGACGGAGGGGGCAAGCGGUAACCGGAUUAAUUGGGGGUAAAUGGUCCGUAGGGGGACUUAUGAGACAGUGGUGAAAGCCUGGCGCGUAACGAUAGAACGGCCAUUGAGACUGUAAGUCUUAAGUAGAUUUGAGGGAGCUGGAAUAAGGAGUGUAGCGGUGAAAUGCAUAGAUAUUACUUAGAACACCAAUUGCGAAGGCAGGUUACCAAGAUAUAACUGACGCUGAGGGACGAAAGCGUGGGGAGCGAACAGGAUUAGAUACCCGAGUAGUC
This 300-nucleotide ribosomal RNA is filed under the name uncultured Haliangium sp. RNAcentral's name for it is "bacterial SSU rRNA". It matches the Rfam family "Bacterial small subunit ribosomal RNA", at positions 496 to 795 of the family's 1533-position model. Lineage: Bacteria; Pseudomonadati; Myxococcota; Haliangiales; Kofleriaceae. The record is from RNAcentral.